AUGGCGCGGUGGCCAGCCGCCGCGGCGGCGUUUGCGCUCGGGGCGGCGCUCAUGGGCAUGCUGGCGGUCACCGCCGACGGGAGAGGCAGCAACACCAACAGCAAGUUCACGUGCACGGACACGGAGAAGAAGCGGCCGGGGUGCACGGGCACCUACCCCGACAGGUGCCCCCAGAGCUGCAUCUCGCUCUGCCCCUCGUGCCAAACAUAUUGCCCUUUUAAGGUGCGUCUUGUGCAUGCAGCUGACCAAGUGCAGCCAGUGCGGCCGGCAUUGUUUGUGUUCGGGGAGGGGUUUACGGACGUCGGCAACAACAACUACCUAGAGAACAACGAGGUAGGGAACCCCGUAAGAGCAAAUCACUCCUACUAUGGCAUAGACUUCCCCAAUUCCGUGGCCACCGGAAGAUUCAGCAACGGAUUCAACUUGGCUGACUUCAUCGGAGAAAUUGUUUUACUUUACCGACCAAAGGCUAUGGGAUUCGAGAUGAGCCCUCCCACAAAAAUGGAGGCUGGUUUUGCUGGAGUCAACUAUGCUUCGGCGACCUCUGGGAUUUGGAGAGACAUCGACACCGGACUGGACAUCCCACUGAUGGUGAUGGACCAAGUGAAGAACUUCGCGGACACGAUAGGGCAGAUGGGCGCCAACCGUAGCCCGCAAGACCUGAGCAAGAUGUUGUCCAAUUCCCUCUUCCUCAUCAGCACCGGCACCACCGACCUCUACUUAAUCUACAACAUCAACAACAAUGGGGGCUCGGACAGCAAAACCGAUGUCCCACACCUCAUCUCCUCCUACGGCGACAACAUCAUGACCUUGUACAACUUGGGCGCGAGGAAGUUCGGUAUCAUCAACGUCCCGACCUUGUGCACGGCGGUGGUGCGCCAUGGCUGUGAGGGCCUCAUUACCAGCCUCCGGGAGGAGUUCAACGAUGGCAUCAAGCCACUCAUGGCCGGCCUCGCCUCCAACCUCAGUGGCCUCCGCUACUCCAUUGCCGACUUUCACGCCUUCUCGGAUGCAGUCAACAUGAGUCCGUCGGCCUACAGGUUUGUGAACACCGGGGGCGCGUGCUGCCAAGGCUCCUGCGCACCUGGUUCUGGGCUGCCGUGUGCCAACCGCUCUCAGUACUGGUACUGGUAUUGGAACGAGGAGUACCCGACGGAGCAGGCCGCUAAGCUGGCCGCAUCUGCGUUUUUCAAUGGCACAACCCAAUUCACAACGCCGGUGAACUUCAAGACGCUGAUCAGCCAAAAGUGA
This 1251-nucleotide ribosomal RNA is filed under the name Triticum aestivum (bread wheat). Its description in RNAcentral is "partial small subunit ribosomal RNA". Lineage: Eukaryota; Viridiplantae; Streptophyta; Magnoliopsida; Poales; Poaceae. The record is from RNAcentral.